GGGCCUAGAGUUCUGGGAGGCUGCUGGGAGGGCACUGCCAGCCUGCGGGCUGCUGCAGGCUCUUCCCGGGCGUGUAGUGCAGGUGGCCGCGCGUGGUGGCCCGCGGGGCUUUGAGUGGGCGGGGCCCUACACCAGCGAUAGCUUUAAGGGGAGGAGUACUCGUCAGGGACAACACUGUGCGGGUUAAUUUGGGAAGUGAUGGUUAAAGGUCAUGGCUUGAGACUCACUUGUGUUGUUAAUUUUGAUGGGGGUAGAGCUGGAAGCUGCUCCAGUUAACAGUGAGUUCUCAGUCUGGAGAGGUAAAGACACUUGAAUUGUAGGUACUGAUUUUGUUCCGCUAUGGGGGCUUUAUUUUGGUCCCGUGUGCUUCCGUUUGAGCAGUCGGUGGUGGAAUUACUAAUUUUUAAGAGCAUCAGAGUUACUUGAAAACGAUGGUGAAGGGAGCCUAAUGAGAGGAAAAGGGAGGAAUUCCUUUUUUACCUCGAGGAGUUUCGUUUCUAGAUCGUGGCAAAAGAGAAGCAGGAAAACAAAUCAAGGUGAACUGAAGAAAAUGAGCCUUUCCCCAGAGGAGAUAGAAGGUGGGGAAGAUGAGACGUCAGAAGAUAAGGGCAGUAGAGAUGAGGUGCCUGCGUGGGGGUCCUCUCCUUUGGUGUUUUACUUGAAUGCAGGGAGUUGGGACUCUACAGACACACUGAGCCACCUAAACAGUCGUUGACUUGACAAGCGUGCCAGGUAAUUCUGGUGCUGGGAGCUCUUUUACUGCACGCUGAGAAAUUCGUCCUGGAGAAAUCAGCACAGACGUUGACACGUGGGCCUGAGCAGAUCUUGCACUUGCUGACUGUGCAAUGUGACUGUCGCCUCCUGGCCACAGAGGAGACAUCUCUUCAUUGUUGUUCUUCCUCCUCUAGGUUGAUGUCCCUCAGAAAAAUGGUAGGAAGAUUACUACUGCUCCAGGAAAUAAAAUCGAGAAAAAAAAGUUUCUGGCUCCCAUGUUUGCUGAGAAGUUAAUAUCACCAUGCAGGAAGGGAGCCACAGGGGCCAAGGUGCCAAAAGACAGGAGGAGUGCCCUGCUCGAGAACCAUGAGAAGUGACUUGAGAACCCUGAGGAGGAUGAAGAGCCUAUGAAGAAAGCACCUGAUAAACCAGAAGGAGGAAAUGACCAAACAGAAUGCUUCCCCUGAAACCAAAAUUCAGAAAUUAGAAGAUGGAAAUGCCAAAACACUUUUGAUCAAGAACUUGCCUGACAGAGUCACUCAGCAUGAAUUAAUAGAAGUGUUUGAGGAUACUUUUCAAAUCAGAUUGGUGAGCAAGGAUGGGAUGAGUGAAAGGUAUGUCUUUGUACCUUGUACUGAAAAAGAAUAUAUGAUAACAGAAUUUCAUUGUAUUCUCCCAAAUCACUCAUACCGGAUUUUAGAGAAGGAAAAAGUAGUUAUCCAGCCUUUCUACCAGCAGGCAGAAAAAGCAUCAUAAAUGGAUAUCCAAAGGCUUCUAGAAGACUGUAGGGCUGUCAUAGAGAAAUGAAGACUUUAUUCUAUCAAGUACAAGAUUGAAGAUUAGAAGAAUCCACUCAUAGGUUAUCAUCAUCCUAUCUCUCCAGGGCUGACUACAGGAAAAUAACACCCUUGGCGACUUGUCUGGACAGGAUCGCCUCUAUUGACUUCAAGUCACAGGCCGAUGCAGAGAGAGCCUUGGAAGAGAAGCAAGGAACAGAGAUCGGUGGGCCUUCUGUAGUUCUGGAACUUGUCGGAGCAAAAAGCCAAGGCCAAGAUGAGAGAGACAGGAGGGAAAAAAGUGCAACUGGCAAAGUAAGGGUGUGACAGCUCUGUAGAUGGAGACUCGCCAGGUUUCCCAGGGAGGGGCUAGUAUGAGGUUAGGGGCACUUGGCACUGUUUUGUUUUUUGUUUUUUUUGGUUUUUUUGGCUGCGUUGGGUCUUCGUUGCUGCA
Molecule: non-coding RNA, 1944 nt
Organism: Delphinapterus leucas (beluga whale)
Lineage: Eukaryota; Metazoa; Chordata; Mammalia; Artiodactyla; Monodontidae
Source: RefSeq, a predicted model, not a curated record